GGAUCAAUUAAUCGGUCGUGCCUCUGGUACGCACUGGUUUUAUUGGUUUCUCCCUUCUGACGAACCAGGAUGUCAUUAAUUUGGUGUCUUGGAGAAUCAGGACUGUUACUUUGAAAAAAUUAGAGUGUUUAAAGCAGGCUAACGCUUGAAUACAUUAGCAUGGAAUAAUGAAAUAGGACGUUUGAUCCUAUUUUGUUGGUUUCUAGGAUCGACGUAAUGAUU
Molecule: ribosomal RNA, 222 nt
Filed under: uncultured Glomeromycotina
Lineage: Eukaryota; Fungi; Glomeromycota
Description: partial 18S ribosomal RNA
Rfam family: Eukaryotic small subunit ribosomal RNA (bases 38-222)
Source: RNAcentral